Lethenteron reissneri (Far Eastern brook lamprey) is the source of this 446-nucleotide long non-coding RNA. RefSeq lists it as uncharacterized. NCBI's taxonomy places the organism in Eukaryota, Metazoa, Chordata, Hyperoartia, Petromyzontiformes, Petromyzontidae. The record is from RefSeq and is a predicted model, not a curated record.
UCCACGCCGAGAUCGUGAGGCCGUUAUAGAGGCACAGCAUGCCGAUCAUGGUAGCGCCGCUGUUCCCGAACCACAGCAGGAAGCAGCUGAUGCCGGAAAGCACCAUUGAACCACCUGAGUGAGGCCGGUACAUCACGCCGAAAGAUUCCAGUGGCAGGGUACAGAGGUACAGAGUCUCAUCAGGUGAAUCCAUUCCGGCGCGACGGCACCACACGACAGUGUCAUCGUGGGCAGUGCUCCGCACUACGAAGCGGGCGUCCAAAUUCGAUUCCCGGCCAUGGCUAAGGUCAGCGACGAUUGACACGCAAAGGGGCCCAAGGCAUUCCCCCCCCGCCCCCCCCAGUCAACACACCUUAAAGCACCACCCCGUCACUCACCGCGUGCAGCUGCGUGCCCGUGCGCAUGGGCCAUCGGCGGUACCAGGCUCCGGUGUCCGACGUCAUUUC